Long non-coding RNA from Bubalus bubalis (water buffalo), 2473 nucleotides. RefSeq lists it as uncharacterized. The record is from RefSeq and is a predicted model, not a curated record. The transcript is spliced from 3 exons. Lineage: Eukaryota; Metazoa; Chordata; Mammalia; Artiodactyla; Bovidae.
AUGAACAGGAAAUAUCUUAGCAGCCAUGUUUCUCCCCAGCGCAGGCUGUUGUUAGCCUGGAUCCCGAUCCUUAGGAUUGACUGGAAAGAGCGGACUGUAACUCUCUUGUUCAUCACCCUGGGGCAGAGAACACAGCUUUCAGAAUUGGAACACAAAGGACUAUAUGAAUGUUAAGAGCAGAACUUGCACAUGGAGUAAACUUGAAGGAAGCCAUUGUUUCCAAGCCUCCUCUGAAAAAUGAGAAUUAUAAUGGCAUAUUACCUCAAAGGGGUGCUAUAAGAAUUAACUGAGAUAAGAAGAUGAAGUCCUCAGCAUCGUUCAUGGCAUAAGCAAGGAAGACAUGAGAAAGGAAGGUGAACCUGUGAAGAUCCCAGAAUUCAUUGACAGAAAGGUCCUGUUCUCUCUUCCCAAGACUGGACCCACAGAAGACACCAGGUGUGAGGGAUGAAUCACACGUUGAGUCAAGGUUGAGGUGGAUGGGACCGGACGUGUAGAAAAGCUAGAAACUAUAGAGCAAAUGUGCCGUGGAUCAAAAGCAGGUAGCAGUCCCAGGAUAAAUGUAACUUCAGAGCCGUCUGGCCUCUAGGAAUGUUCACAGCCUCUCUCCUACUCCAAGUUCCAAAUUUUACCCUCAAGGAGAAAUAUUGGUAAAGGAUUAAGGUCAAGGCCAUUUAUUGUGCCUCAGUGCUAGAGGUUGGAACAUCUUUCCUAACAAAGAGGAUGAUCCCUGGAUCCCCUGUGGCAGGAGUUUCUCUGGAGUCCUCUGGCAUCUCCUGGAAUCUUCUUUCCUCUCUUUCUUUCUCAAGACAUAUGCAGAAGGAAGGCCUGAAUUACAGGUUCAGGAAUUGCCCUGCUCUAGGAAUGUCCUGGAGUUGACGACUAGAUCAGUUGACAAGGACAAAUGCUAACUCUCUGGCUUGGCUUGGCCUUGAUGUGAUUUUCCAUGGAUCUGCUUUCCCUCUUCAUGGCUAUGGGCCCAGGAGAAGAAGAGGAGGAGAUUGCCUUUAUCCUAGACAGGCUUUCACAUUGUCCAGCUUUGCUCUGGGAACUGCAGAUGGAGAUUGAUGUUGGAGUGAAAUUCUCAUGGACUAAAAUGUCUGUGUUACACUUUUCUUCUCUGUACUUCUUGAGUUCCUUGUAGAGGGCAUUUGUAGGAGGGCAGGAUUCAAGGAUUUAGGAUUCUGUAUCUUGGCCAAAUACAAUUUUCUCAAUGUCUUCCUGUCAUGUCAUGAUUUAUGGCCCACAGAAACUGAAGAGGCAGAACAAAGAGUUUGGACACAAGGCAGGAUGCCAGCAACUAGGAGAACCAUAGAAAUUAAGAAAAAUUGGUCAUUCAUUCUCAGUCAUUCAAAAAAUAUAUAUGUUGGUGCUAUACAAAAUGGAAUUGCAGAUUUACCUAAAAUGCGAUCCCUUUUGUUGAAGCGUUCACUAUUUAGCAGGGCAAGUGUACUUACAAAUGAAUAUUUAUCAUCAGUGGGAGAAGUGCCAUAUUGAAGAGGAGUAUUGUAGUAAGUUACAACCACUGGGCAGAACUCCAAACUCUCCCUCCUAAAACCCUGCCCCGUUCUCCACUCCUUCCUGUCUUUCUAUCUUUGUAGUUAUAAUUUUUAAUAUCUGUAAAUAUAUAAUGCAUCUCCAUGAACGUAAAAAUUCAGCUGCUCAAAGCUUUCUCAAAGCAAUGUGGGGGUGGUAGAUGGUAAAGACCAGCCCAACCCUGGACUCCAUUUUCCUUUAGUCUCUUCUGGGACUCCUUUUUUUCUUUCAGAGGCACUGGUUAUACACACAACCAAAUGAUAGGUGUGGUUCUAAGGGGAAAAGGAGAAAGGACACAAUAAGGGACUUUAAUGCCAACACGGGCACAUUCUUGACAUGUCAUGUGACGUAGGCUGGCUCACCAAGAGUGAGUACUGGCAUAUGGGGACCAGGCCUCCACCAGUAAGAACAUUGCCUUCUCCUGGCCUCAUCACCUGUGAACAUCAGGGAGGAUGCCUGUGACAGAAUAGAGGGCUGGGCGUUUCCUCACUGGGUCUCCAGCUCUCCAAUGGAGGGGAAGUGGGUGGGUUGUGAUUGGAGUUAAACCAGGGAUGAGAAUCCUGUAAAAUAUGAUGUGUUGAAGAGAAUAGGUUCCUUUUCCUUUCCCUUCUAGAAGAGAGACGUUGUCUGUGGCUUGGCAUCUACAUCUCAAAAAUAAUAAAAGUAUACUUGGGAGGUUGGGAAGAUAAUGUCUAAAGACUGUGGAAAGAUUAAUAGAAUCCCUUUAUCCCUGCUGGCAGCAACAACAAUAAAGAAACAACCCACCAAAAAACAAGGCCCAGUCUACCAGUGUAAAGUUUCAUUGAGCCAUAGAUAACUCUUGCUUCUAGAGAGCCACUGUACAACGUUGUAUCUAUAGUCAACAGUAAUGUUUGUAUAGUUAAACUUGUGUUUAGAGGGUAGCUCAUGUUAAAUGCUCUUACCAUAAUAAAAUAAAAUU